GUGCUCACUUGGGCAGCGCAUAUAUUAAAAUUGGAAUGAUACAGAGAAGAUUAGCAUGGCCCCUGCACAAGGGUGACAUGCAAAUUCAUGAAGCAUUCCAUAUUUUU
Molecule: small nuclear RNA, 107 nt
Organism: Pongo abelii (Sumatran orangutan)
Lineage: Eukaryota; Metazoa; Chordata; Mammalia; Primates; Hominidae
Source: Ensembl